CAUCAACGUAAUACAGAGGACAACUGACUCGUGCAACAUGGCGUGCUGUAGGAUGCUCUCGUCUGGUACCCCCUUCUAGUAUACAUAGACAAUAGGUAUGUACUGGUGUAACGAUGACAUCUGAUUGGCUAAUUUACCAACCAAUAAGGGACGAGGCAAUUAAAAUAAAAUGACAUACAAUAGCUACAACUUUAAAUUUUAUGAUAUCACAAAAAAAUAGUUUGUUUCUACCGCAAAUUAUAAUUGUUACUUCUCCGCCAUGUUUGUUUUGACUGCAACUCGUCUGUCAAUGGUUAGCUUAUCAGCCAAUCAGAUGCCUUCGUUCUGCCAGUAGAUACCUGUUGUCUUGUGUACACUAUAGGGGGGUACCAGUGUAGGAUGCUCUUUGCUCACACAGAAAUUCGGAACAACUCACAGAAGGAACUUGUCCAACAUAGUGAAUGGCUGAGACUGGUCAGACUAGGUCAGACCAAGGCGGGAUUCUCAAAAGUUAUCAUGUUAUUUUUUUUUUCCUCGUAAAUGGUGAUGGAGAAAUACUGGUUCAUUUAAGCAACGAUACAAAGAUGGUCUCUCUUAAGGUUCGUAAGUCGAUUUUCCCUCUUAACCUUUCAUUAUGAUACAAGGGAAGAUUCUCAAAGGUUCGUAAGUCGAUUUUCUUUUUCUCUUAACUGGUUGUGGUAAAGUAUAGGAUCACAGUUAAUUGGGUCAUUAAGAACAACAUAUGUAUUCACUGCUAAAAAAUGGCGUCUGAACUGAAUUGAGACUGUAUAGUAGACAGGGAGAACAAAUAAGGCGAGCUUGUUGAACCUUUGAGAACCUGGGGCCGUGUGUGUGUGUCACCAGGAGCUGUGGUAGUCCUGGCUCUCACGUUCACACACACACACACACACUGUAAAUGUCUGGCCCGCAUGAGUGUCUCCACCUAGCCACUCACUCUCAAUACCUCCCCUGUAUUUCAAAGCUAAACACUUAUCCUGUAACUCAAGUCUUAUUUCUUGUCGUAACUCAGAGAUAAAUACGUUCUCCGUAACUGGGAGCCUUAUUUCUUGUCGUAACUCAGAGAUAAAUACGUUCUCCGUAACUGGGAGCCUUAUUUCUUGUCGUAACUCAGAGAUAAAUACGUUCUCCGUAACUCGGAGCCUUAUUUCAUGUCGUAACUCAAAGCUCAAGACCAUUCUUUUAAGUCAGAGGCUAACAAUCGUGACGUAAGUAACUUAAAUAGAACAGUGUAGUUAUAGCGUCUACAGCAGGUAUUAUGCAUAGGACGAGGCAAAACACACACACACACACACACACACACACACGAUCAUUUCGAAACAAGUUAUUAUUAGGACAAGGCUUCUUUGGUUAGGUUGGCGUGGGAGAGGUUAGGUUGGGUUAGGUUGGGUUGGGUUGGGUUAGGUUAGGUUAGGUUAGGUUAAAUUGAGUAUGGUUGGGUUAGGUUAGGUUAAAUUGAGUAUGGUUGGGUUAGGUUAGGUUAAAUUGCGUAUGGUUGGGUUAGGUUAGGUUUUAGCUUUGUCCCAUAUAAUAAUCAUCACGUGUAUACACCUUAACAACAACACGAUCUCACCACAUUACAACCUCACCUUCAACAACAACACCUCUUUAUAACACACCACAACCUUGUACGGCUCCUGUGUGAAUUGGAUAAACACGACAGAGUAUUAAAUAACACGUGGAACAGAACGAGAGAGUAAAGAAACGGGGGAAAAAAACGAAAUAGUGGAAAAAGCGGAAAUAACGAAAAAAAAAAACCCGGAAAAACGGAAGAAAAAAAGAUCUUUCGAUUUGGUGGCAAGAGAUCUCGGGACACUACACAAUAGCCAUCCCUGUCAGAGGAAAAUAGUAUUAUCGACAAGAGGAAAGAAGAGAGAGGAGGUGUGUUGGGGUGUGUUCCGGGCAGAUCUUCCUGAUAUCAAGUUUAUUUCCACUAUGAAGAGAGCAGGGAGGAGUGUGUGUGUGUGUGUGUGUGUGUGUGUGUGUGUGUGUGUG
This 1992-nucleotide long non-coding RNA is filed under the name Homarus americanus (American lobster). Its description in RNAcentral is "uncharacterized LOC121876834". Lineage: Eukaryota; Metazoa; Arthropoda; Malacostraca; Decapoda; Nephropidae. The record is from RNAcentral.